This is a long non-coding RNA of Halichondria panicea, 681 nucleotides long. RefSeq lists it as uncharacterized. The record is from RefSeq and is a predicted model, not a curated record. The transcript is spliced from 3 exons. NCBI's taxonomy places the organism in Eukaryota, Metazoa, Porifera, Demospongiae, Suberitida, Halichondriidae.
AUGUGACGUUUUGGGUAUAGUUUGGCAGACAAGAGCAUUAUCUUUGCAUGGCAUUGCAUGCAUGUGUGUGUGCAAAUUAAUAAAGCGUGUUUUAUCGUUGUGUUUUCCAUUCAGGUUUUUGAGUUGAUUGAAUCAUAGAUUGAAGAGUUAGAGAGAUAGGAAACGGAGUGGUGCACGUGAUGAUUUUACAUUGAAUCUGCAGUGGAGCCUCGAAAAUUAUCCGCGUUACUCCCUAUGAACGAGGCUAUUAAGCACAUUUUUGCCGGGUAACUCCCAAAGCUGUGUUUCCUCGAGAAAUCAUCUCUUUCAGCAACUUAUAACACGCCUAGUCCAUGAGCCACGUGUAGUACUUGCUAAUGACUGACCACACCCAGUAAAAACAGACUUUCCAAUAAAGUUAUAUGUUCCCAAGGCUGUUUUAGAGCUAUUGGAACAUGUAACGUGUAAGCGUGCUGGUUAUGACUACUACAAUAGGUAUAGACCUUGAAAUAUAAGGUUGGAUAAUGAAUACCUGGACGACUGGGAUAGGGGGAAAAAUCUGUUUCUAUAGCCGUAAGGAGCUUAAGACGCUGUAGUGAUGCCACAAGGACUGAAGUUUACAGUCAGUCAAAUCAUUCAUUGACAUGGUAGGGGACCUGUUCAUCCUCCCUGGCGCAAGUGCCUUUCUGAGUGAUCUGAGCG